CUGCCACAGGCCAGUGCCAGCUCUCAACAAUGCAGCAACAAACCCACCACCAAGCUCUCCUUCUCAUUCCAAAAUUGGUGAAAAAGCCGCCUCUCAAAGCUCUCUCGCUCUUCAAUUCCUCAAUUCAUCAAGGCUUUCACCCCACUCACCAGUCCAUUUCCUUUAUUCUUCACCACCUUCUUAGCUCCAACAUGCUAUCCCACGCCCAAUCUUUCCUUCUCCAAUUGAUCUCUAAUCGAAUUUCCUCUCCUUUCUUCACUGUUUCAUCUCUUCUCCACCAUCUAACACAACCAAUCUCUUAUCCAAGCCCAAUAAUGGGUGCCUUCCUCUAUGAAUCAAUCAUCAAUGCUUAUGUUCUAUCUCGCUCAAUAGAGCAAGCUCUGUUCUAUUUUAAUCAAAUGGUUGAUAAAGGCCUUGUCCCUAGACCCAAUACUUUCAAUUGUCUUUUGGAUUACCUUGUUAAAUCUAGCUGUUUUGAGAGAUCGUGGUUAUUUUUUCAUGAAUCAAAGGAAAAGGUUAAGUUGGAUGUGUAUAGUUAUGGGAUAAUGAUCAAGGGUUGUUGUGAGGCUGGUGAUUUGAAUAGAGGUUUUGAGCUAUUGGUUCAAUCAGAGGAGAUGGGAUUUUCCCCGAAUGUUGUCAUAUAUACUACAUUAAUUGAUGGGUGUUGUAAGAAUAAAGAUGUUCAAAGAGCAAAACAGUUGUUUUAUAAGAUGGAAGAACUGGGUUUGGCUGCUAAUCAGUAUACUUACACAGUUUUGAUCAAUGGGUUCUUUAAGAAGGGACUUAAAAAAGAUGGGUUUGAGUUAUACGAGAAGAUGCAGCUUGAUGGGGUGCUUCCUAAUUUAUAUACCUAUAAUUGUAUGAUAAAUGAGUGCUGCAAUGAAAGAAAGAUAAAUAAAGCUUAUGAACUGUUUGAUGAAAUGUGUAAGAGAGGUGUGACAUCUAAUGUUGUUACCUACAAUACCUUGAUUCGUGGGUUAUGUAGAGAGAUGAGGAUUUGGGAGGCUGAGAAUUUGGUGGGUCUAAUGAAGAGAGCUAGCAUCAACUCGAAUUUAGUCACAUAUAACACUCUAAUACAUGGGUUUUGUAGUAUCGGAAGGUUGGAUAAAGCUUUGAGUUUGUUUGACCGUUUGAAGUCAAAUGGUAUAUCUCCAUCUUUGGUAACUUAUAAUGUUCUGAUCGAAGGAUAUUCUAAUGCUGGAAACUGGGUGCGUGUCACUGAUUUUGUGAGGGAGAUGGAG
This 1241-nucleotide unclassified non-coding RNA is filed under the name Hevea brasiliensis (rubber tree). Lineage: Eukaryota; Viridiplantae; Streptophyta; Magnoliopsida; Malpighiales; Euphorbiaceae. The record is from RNAcentral.